GCGAUUUUUGAGGAUGUCCUUUGUUCGCUAUUUGCCCUCCGAUGACAUUUGGGUCUUGGAGAGGAAACAAAGACUAGUC
This 79-nucleotide telomerase RNA is filed under the name Penicillium occitanis (nom. inval.). RNAcentral's name for it is "Penicillium occitanis Ascomycota telomerase RNA". It matches the Rfam family "Ascomycota telomerase RNA", at positions 1285 to 1381 of the family's 1858-position model. Lineage: Eukaryota; Fungi; Ascomycota; Eurotiomycetes; Eurotiales; Aspergillaceae. The record is from Rfam by way of RNAcentral.